RNAcentral lists this ribosomal RNA (406 nucleotides) under uncultured bacterium. RNAcentral's name for it is "partial 16S ribosomal RNA". It matches the Rfam family "Bacterial small subunit ribosomal RNA", at positions 30 to 526 of the family's 1533-position model. The record is from RNAcentral.
AUUGAACGCUGGCGGCAGGCCUAACACAUGCAAGUCGAACGAGUGGCGGACGGGUGAGUAAUGCCUGGGAAACUGCCUGUUGGAGGGGGAUAACUACUGGAAACGGUAGCUAAUACCGCCUACCAUCCGAUGUGCCCAGAUGGGAUUAGCUAGUUGGUGGGGUAACGGCUCACCAAGGCGACGAUCCCUCGCUGGUCGGAGAGGAUGACCAGCCACACUGGAACCGAAACACGGUCCCGGAUCCUGCGGGAGGCAACAGUGGGUAAUUUUGCACAAUGGGGGCAAGCCGUAUGCGACCAGGCCGGGUGUAUUAAAAAGGGCUUCGGGUUUUAAAGUAAUUUCAGCGGGGAGGCGUUACCCGCAGAAGAAGCAACGGCUAACUCCGUGCCAGCAGCCGCGGUAAUAC